Molecule: ribosomal RNA, 491 nt
Filed under: uncultured bacterium
Lineage: Bacteria
Description: partial 16S ribosomal RNA
Rfam family: Bacterial small subunit ribosomal RNA
Source: RNAcentral
GAUGAACGCUGGCUACAGGCUUAACACAUGCAAGUCGAGGGGAAACGACGGGGAAGCUUGCUUCCCCGGGCGUCGACCGGCGCACGGGUGAGUAACGCGUAUCCAACCUGCCUCUGACUGAGGGAUAACCCGUCGAAAGUCGGCCUAAUACCUCAUGGCAUCGUCUUCGGGCAUCCAACGACGAUUAAAGAUUUCAUCGGUCAGAGAUGGGGAUGCGUCUGAUUAGCUUGUUGGCGGGGUACCGGCCCACCAAGGCGACGAUCAGUAGGGGUUCUGAGAGGAAGGUCCCCCACAUUGGAACUGAGAAACUGUCCAAACUCCUACGGGAGGCAGCAGUGAGGAAUAUUGGUCAAUGGGCGAGAGCCUGAACCAGCCAAGUAGCGUGCAGGAGGACGGCCCUAUGGGUGGUAAACUGCUUUUAUGAGGGGAUAAAGUGAGGGACGUGUCCUUCAUUGCAGGUACCGCAUGAAUAAGGACCGGCUAAUUCCGUG